UAUAAGGGAUUUUGAGUUUUUACUUGCAACGUUUGACCACUCGUCUUAUUCAAAAUUUUUUGAAAUCAUUAUUUAUUUUAUUUAUGACUUAUUUUAUUAUCUUCAGUACUUUAAGCACAACUUUUCAUUUUUUAUAUUUGCAAAAAAAAUUGAAUAAGACGAGUAGUCAAACGUUGCAAUCAAAAACUCAAAAUCCCUUAUA
RNAcentral lists this microRNA precursor (202 nucleotides) under Oryza barthii. Its description in RNAcentral is "MIR812 microRNA precursor family". It matches the Rfam family "MIR812 microRNA precursor family". The record is from Rfam by way of RNAcentral. Lineage: Eukaryota; Viridiplantae; Streptophyta; Magnoliopsida; Poales; Poaceae.